UACGAAGGGGACUAGCGUUGUUCGGAAUCACUGGGCGUAAAGCGCACGUAGGCGGAUUUGUAAGUCAGGGGUGAAAUCCCGGGGCUCAACCUCGGAACUGCCUUUGAUACUGCGAAUCUUGAGUCCGAUAGAGGUGGGUGGAAUUCCUAGUGUAGAGGUGAAAUUCGUAGAUAUUAGGAAGAACACCCGUGGCUAAGGCGGCUCUCUAGUACGGUACUGACGCUGAGACGCGAAAGCGUGGGGAGCGAACAGG
Molecule: ribosomal RNA, 253 nt
Filed under: uncultured bacterium
Lineage: Bacteria
Description: partial 16S ribosomal RNA
Rfam family: Bacterial small subunit ribosomal RNA
Source: RNAcentral